Molecule: long non-coding RNA, 458 nt
Organism: Alligator mississippiensis (American alligator)
Lineage: Eukaryota; Metazoa; Chordata; Crocodylia; Alligatoridae
Exons: 3
Source: RefSeq, a predicted model, not a curated record
CUGUCAGCAGCCAGAGGGGCAGGAGCUCCCAAAGUAAAGAUGCAAGAAGCAGCUUCACUGCAGAGCUAAGAAGUUCAGUGCUUGCAGUACAACUCAGAGAUGGUGUGGUAUAUUUGUUUAAUAUGAAGUUUUUGAGGAUGACCAUGUUUUCACAAAAGCCUGUGGCAGAACACCUCAGCCUGGACACUCCGUUGCUGACCUCAGGCUUCAAAUGUGGAACUCCUACUUAGCUGUGUCAUACUGGUGAGAAUUGUGCUGAGAUUCAAGGUGACCAAAACUGGAUGCAAGAAACAGAAUUUUUGAAAUCUUAGACCCAAAUACUUACAUUCUCUUUCAGUUGUGCACCACUAAGUACCAUUUCUAAGCUGUAGAAGACUUUUAGAAUGGAUCCCUGGACAUUUGAAAUCACUGGAUUCUAAGGGACAGAUUCUACUGUCAAAUACACAUUCUGAAAAUUA